GCCAGGCACGGUGGUGCACACCUGUAAUCCCAGCAGCUCAGGAGGCUGAGGCGGGAGGAUCAUGAGUUCAAAGCCAGCCUCAGCAAUUUAGAGAGAUCUUGUCUCUA
This 107-nucleotide small RNA is filed under the name Marmota monax (woodchuck). The record is from RNAcentral. Lineage: Eukaryota; Metazoa; Chordata; Mammalia; Rodentia; Sciuridae.